RNAcentral lists this ribosomal RNA (1318 nucleotides) under metagenome. RNAcentral's name for it is "bacterial LSU rRNA". It matches the Rfam family "Bacterial large subunit ribosomal RNA", at positions 1561 to 2925 of the family's 2925-position model. The record is from RNAcentral.
AGUGGAUGGGGAGCAACCUAGUUGUGCGUGUGUAAAGGUAGUGCCAAGAAAAGCGGUGAUCAUGAUGAAAAUCAAUUCCCGGUACCCGAAACCGACACAGGUGGGCAAGUAGAGAAUACUAAGGGGCGCGAGGUAACUCUCUCCAAGGAACUCGGCAAAAUGACCCCGUAACUUAGGGAGAAGGGGUGCCACCGAGAGGUGGUCGCAGUGAAGAGGCCCAGGCGACUGUUUAGCAAAAACAUAGGUCUCUGCAAACUCGAAAGAGGAGGUAUAGGGGCUGACGCCUGCCCAGUGCCGGAAGGUUAAAGAAGUUGGUCAGUCUAGGAUGAAGCUAGCGACUGAAGCCCCGGUGAACGGCGGCCGUAACUAUAACGGUCCUAAGGUAGCAAAAUUCCUUGUCGGGUAAGUUCCGACCCGCACGAAAGGCGUAACGAUCUGGGCGCUGUCUCGGAGAGAGGCUCGGCGAAAUAGGAUUGUCUGUGAAGAUACGGACUACCUGCAUUUGGACAGAAAGACCCUAUGAAGCUUUACUAUAGCUUGGAAUUGUGUUCGGGCUUCCUGUGCGCAGGAUAGGUGGGAGGCGUAGAAGGUAUUCUUGUGGGGAUACUGGAGCCAACGGUGAGAUACCACUCUCAGGAGGCUAGAAUUCUAACUUAAUUAAGGACAGUUUCAGGUGGGUAGUUUGACUGGGGCGGUCGCCUCCAAAAAGGUAACGGAGGCGUACAAAGGUUCCCUCAGACUGGUUGGAAAUCAGUCGAAGAGUGCAAAGGCAGAAGGGAGCUUGACUGCGAGAAGUACAGUUCGAGCAGGGUGGAAACACGGUCUUAGUGAUCCGACGGCGCUGUGUGGAAGGGCCGUCGCUCAACGGAUAAAAGUUACUCUAGGAUAACAGGCUGAUCUCCCCCAAGAGUUCACAUCGACGGGGAGGUUUGGCACCUCGAUGUCGGCUCAUCGCAACCUGGGGCGGAAGUACGUCCCAAGGGUUGGGCUGUUCGCCCAUUAAAGCGGUACGUGAGCUGGGUUCAGAACGUCGUGAGACAGUUCGGUCCAUAUCCGAUGUAGGCGUGAGAAUAUUGAGAGGAGCCUUCCUUAGUACGAGAGGACCGGGAAGGACGCACCGCUGGUGUACCUGUUAUGAUGCCAAUUGUAAACGCAGGGUAGCCAAGUGCGGAGAGGAUAACCGCUGAAAGCAUCUAAGUGGGAAGCCCACCUCAAGAUGAGUAUUCUGGUGUAAGGUCACGGGAAGACGACCCGUAAAUAGGCACGAGGUGGAAGUGCAGAGAUGUAUGAAGCCGAAGUGUACUAAUAGACCGUCGGC